CCCUUAGAUGUUCUGGGCCGCACGCGCGCUACACUGAUGCAUUCAACGAGCCUAUCCUUGCCCGACAGGUCCGGGUAAUCUUUGAAUCUGCAUCGUGACGGGGAUAGAUUAUUGCAAUUAUUAAUCUUCAACGAGGAAUGCCUAGUAGGCGCAAGUCAUCAGCUUGCGUCGAUUACGUCCCUGCCCUUUGUACACACCGCCCGUCGCUACUACCGAUUGAACGGUUUAGUGAGGGCCUCGGAUUGGUCUCGGCCCGCUCUUUACCGGGCGGCGCCGUUGGUCGAGAAGACGCUCGAACUUGAUCGUUUAGAGGAAGUAAAAGUCGUAACA
Molecule: ribosomal RNA, 330 nt
Filed under: uncultured eukaryote
Lineage: Eukaryota
Description: partial 18S ribosomal RNA
Rfam family: Eukaryotic small subunit ribosomal RNA
Source: RNAcentral